RNAcentral lists this ribosomal RNA (478 nucleotides) under uncultured bacterium. RNAcentral describes it as "partial 16S ribosomal RNA". It matches the Rfam family "Bacterial small subunit ribosomal RNA", at positions 28 to 507 of the family's 1533-position model. The record is from RNAcentral.
GAUGAACGCUGGCGGCGUGCUUAACACAUGCAAGUCGAACGAGAAGUGAAGACGGAAACCUUCGGGCGGAAGGCUUUAUUUCGAGUGGCGGACGGGUGAGUAACGCGUGGGUAACCUGCCUCAUACAGGGGGAUAACAGUUGGAAACGACUGUUAAUACCGCAUAAGACCACAGCACCGCAUGGUGCGGGGGCAAAAACUCCGGUGGUAUGAGAUGGACCCGCGUUCGAUUAGCCAGUUGGCGGGGUAACGGCCCACCAAAGCGACGAUCGAUAGCCGAUCUGAGAGGAUGACCGGCCACAUUGGGACUGAGACACGGCCCAAACUCCUACGGGAGGCAGCAGUGGGGAAUAUUGCACAAUGGGGGAAACCCUGAUGCAGCGACGCCGCGUGAGUGAAGAAGUAUUUCGGUAUGUAAAGCUCUAUCAGCAGGGAAGAAAAUGACGGUACCUGAGUAAGAAGCCCCGGCUAACUACGUG